GCCGCCCAGCCGCGGUGGCUGUACGGUCGUUUUGGACUGCCCUGCCGAUGUUGUCUCCUCAUGACGGGCCAGGCCGUCCCCCGGGGUGGCCCGGGGAACCGUGAGAAAGCCCUCUGCUGCCAUGAGCCGCCGAGGAGCUGCCCCCGCUGCGUCCUACGUGGGUUUCAACGUUACCGGCACUGCCAGGGGAAGCCCUCGGGAAAGAAGAAAAAGGCUGAAGAAGAGCAGUUGCACAAGGGGCUCGGCUGCCGCCGGAGUGUGGGAGGGGGCGGGCGCCGGUGAAUCAACUAAGAGGCAGAUGAUCCAAGUGAUUCAUGCUGUGAUACAGAAGAGGUGCCAGAAAUGGAGAUUUAAACUAGCUCUUUCCUGAUGGUAUUUCUAAGCUCAUCUGCAGCAUGUUGAAGAGACUGUAUCUCAUGUAAAAAUCUUGAAAGGACUGCUUUUGUAGUGAGAAGAUAGAGUAUGACUAGCAUCCAGGAAGUGAGUGGUAAGUUAUAAUUGUAAUGAAAUCUAUGUCAGUGCUGAAGUGAGUUUAAAACAUUCUUGUCAAACUCUGAAGCAUGAAUUAACAUCAAACAAUUGCUUCUCAGUAAUGUAUCUGACUUACUGGCUUUAAUUUUUCCAGAUGCAGCUGAAUCAGCUCCAUUUUCUUACGGUACUUCAGUUUGUAGUCUUAGUACUACAGAAAGAGUGUGUCAUGAAAACUAUCUGCUUCUCCCAAUCUUUUCC
RNAcentral lists this long non-coding RNA (729 nucleotides) under Aquila chrysaetos chrysaetos. RNAcentral describes it as "lncRNA (ENSACCG00020015601.1)". The record is from RNAcentral. Lineage: Eukaryota; Metazoa; Chordata; Aves; Accipitriformes; Accipitridae.